UACAGAGGGUGCGAGCGUUAAUCGGAAUUACUGGGCGUAAAGCGCACGUAGGUGGCGACGUAAGUCGGGUGUGAAAGCCCCGGGCUCAACCUGGGAAUUGCAUUCGAGACUGCAUUGCUGGAGUACGGAAGAGGAGGGCGGAAUUCCCGGUGUAGCGGUGAAAUGCGCAGAUAUCAGGAGGAACACCGACGGCGAAGGCAGCACUCUGGGCCGGUACUGACGCUGAGGAGCGAAAGCGUGGGGAGCAAACAGG
Molecule: ribosomal RNA, 253 nt
Filed under: uncultured bacterium
Lineage: Bacteria
Description: partial 16S ribosomal RNA
Rfam family: Bacterial small subunit ribosomal RNA
Source: RNAcentral